This 467-nucleotide ribosomal RNA is filed under the name uncultured bacterium. Its description in RNAcentral is "partial 16S ribosomal RNA". It matches the Rfam family "Bacterial small subunit ribosomal RNA", at positions 28 to 507 of the family's 1533-position model. The record is from RNAcentral.
GAUGAACGCUGGCGGCGUGCUUAACACAUGCAAGUCGAACGGAAAGGCCCAACCUUUCUUGGGUACUCGAGUGGCGAACGGGUGAGUAACACGUGGGUGAUCUGCCCUGCACUUCGGGAUAACCCUGGGAAACUGGGUCUAAUACCGGAUAGGACCACUUGCUGGAUGUUGUGGUGGAAAGAUUUUUCGGGGUGGGAUGGGCUCGCGGCCUAUCUGCUUGUUUGUGGGGUGAGGGGCUACCAAGGCGUCGUCGGGUAUCCGGCCCGGGAGGGUGUACGGCCAAAAUGGGAAUUGGAAACGGGCCAGACUCCCAAGGGGGGGAGGAGGGGGGAAAUUUGGACAAAGGGGGCGAGGCCGAUGCAAGGAAGGCGGGGGGCGGAUGACCGGCCUCGGGGUGGAAACCCCCUUCGGCAGGGACGAAGCGGUGUGUGACGGUAAUGGGUGAAGAAGCACCGGCUAACUACGUG